Molecule: unclassified non-coding RNA, 223 nt
Filed under: plant metagenome
Description: partial contains small subunit ribosomal RNA, internal transcribed spacer 1, and 5.8S ribosomal RNA
Source: RNAcentral
UUACCGUAGGUGAACCUGCGGUAGGAUCAUUAACAAAUCCGAGUGGGGCCGCUGCGCGGCCCUAUGCGUGCCGGUGGCGUGCGCUGUGGCGCCCGCCGCCGUGUUCGAGUGCUCAGCACAAGUAUGUAGGUGGGACCGAAGCGCAGUAUGCAUGCAUACGGUGGGAACAGCAAACAACUUUUAACAACGGAUCUCUGGGCUCUUGCAUCGAUGAAGAAGCAGC